GUUUGAUCAUGGCUCAGAAUAAACGCUGGCGGCGUGCUUAACACAUGCAAGUCGAACGAGAAAGUCCUUUCGGGGAUGAGUAAAGUGGCAGACGGGUGAGUAACGCGUGAGAAUCUACCCUAAAGUGGAGAAUACCUUCGAGAAAUCGAAGUUAAUACUGCAUACGUCCCUUCGGGGAGAAAGAUGGCUUAUUUUAGCUGUCGCUUAAGGAUGAGCUUGCGUGCUAUUAGCUAGUUGGUAGGGUAAUGGCCUACCAAGGCGAUGAUGGCUAGUCGGCCUGAGAGGGUGUACGACCACACUGGAACUUAGACACGGUCCAGACUCCUACGGGAGGCAGCAGUGAGGAAUAUUGCGCAAUGGGCGAAAGCCUGACGCAGCGACGCCGCGUGAAGGAUGAAGGUCUUCGGAUUGUAAACUUCUGUUAAGUGGGAAAAAAGACUCGUCUCUAAUACAGACGAGGGAUGAUUGUACCAUUAAAGAAAGCACCGGCUAACUUCGUGCCAGCAGCCGCGGUAAUACGAAGGGUGCUAGCGUUAUUCGGAAUUAUUGGGCGUAAAGGGCGCGUAGGUGGCAUGUUAAGUUUGCUGUUAAAUCUUCCAGCCUAACUGGAAAACUGCAGCAAAAACUGGCAAGCUAGAGUGUAAGAGAGAGAAGUGGAAUUCUCGGAGUAGCGGUAAAAUGCGUAGAUCUCGAGAGGAACACCGAUGGCGAAGGCAGCUUCUUGGCUUACUACUGACACUGAGGCGCGAAAGCGUGGGGAGCAAACAGGAUUAGAUACCCUGGUAGUCCACGCUGUAAACGAUGAUCACUAGAUGUUAGUUCUGCUUAGCAGAAUUAGUGUCGCAGCUAACGCGUUAAGUGAUCCGCCUGGGAAGUACGGUCGCAAGGCUAAAACUCAAAGGAAUUGACGGGGGUCCGCACAAGCGGUGGAACAUGUGGUUUAAUUCGAUACUACGCGAGAAACCUUACCUAGGCUUGACAUGCUUUUGACAUCCGUGGAAACACGGCUUUCCAAGUUCGCUUGGACAAUUGCACAGGUGCUGCAUGGCUGUCGUCAGCUCGUGUCGUGAGAUGUUUGGUUAAGUCCUCUAACGAGCGCAACUCUUGCCGUUAGUUGCUAUCCUUCGGGAGCACUCUAGCGGGACUGCCUGGGAAACCAGGAGGAAGGUGGGAAUGACGUCAAGUCCUCAUGGCCCUUAUGUCUAGGGCUACACACGUGUUACAAUGGCUGGUACAGAGGGUCGCAAGCUCGCAAGAGUAAGCUAAUCCCAGAAAGCCAGUCUAAGUUCAGAUUGGAGUCUGCAACUCGACUCCAUGAAGUUGAAAUCGCUAGUAAUCGCGCAUCAUCACGGCGCGGUGAAUACGUUCUCGGACCUUGUACACACUGCCCGCCACACCAUGAGAGCUGAUUGUACCCAAAGGCGCUUUAGCUAACCAGCAAUGGAGGCGAGCGAUAAAGGUAUGGUUAGUGAUUGGGGUGAAGUCGUAACAAGGUAACCGUAG
RNAcentral lists this ribosomal RNA (1503 nucleotides) under uncultured bacterium. Its description in RNAcentral is "bacterial SSU rRNA". It matches the Rfam family "Bacterial small subunit ribosomal RNA". The record is from RNAcentral.